GAUGAACGCUGGCGGCGUGCCUAAUACAUGCAAGUCGAGCGAACAGACGAGGAGCUUGCUCCUCUGACGUUAGCGGCGGACGGGUGAGUAACACGUGGAUAACCUACCUAUAAGACUGGGAUAACUUCGGGAAACCGGAGCUAAUACCGGAUAAUAUAUUGAACCGCAUGGUUCAAUAGUGAAAGACGGUUUUGCUGUCACUUAUAGAUGGAUCCGCGCCGCAUUAGCUAGUUGGUAAGGUAACGGCUUACCAAGGCAACGAUGCGUAGCCGACCUGAGAGGGUGAUCGGCCACACUGGAGCUGAGACACGGUCCAGACUCCUACGGGAGGCAGCAGUAGGGAAUCUGCCGCAAUGGGCGAAAGCUUGACGGAGCAACGCCGCGUGAGUGAUGAAGGUCUUCGGAUCGUAAAACUCUGUUAUUAGGGAAGAACAAAUGUGUAAGUAACUAUGCACGUCUUGACGGUACCUAAUCAGAAAGCCACGGCUAACUACGUG
Molecule: ribosomal RNA, 497 nt
Filed under: uncultured bacterium
Lineage: Bacteria
Description: partial 16S ribosomal RNA
Rfam family: Bacterial small subunit ribosomal RNA
Source: RNAcentral